Small nuclear RNA from Protopterus annectens (West African lungfish), 104 nucleotides. The record is from RefSeq and is a predicted model, not a curated record. Lineage: Eukaryota; Metazoa; Chordata; Ceratodontiformes; Protopteridae.
GUAACACUGGCUGCACAUGUACUAAAAUUAGAAUUAUACAGAGAAGAUUAGCACGGCCAUUGAGCAAGGAUGACAUGCAAAUUUGUGAAGUGUUUGAAGUGUUC